GGAUGUGAGGGCGAUCUGGCUGCGACAUCUGUCACCCCAUUGAUCGCCAGGGUUGAUUCGGCUGAUCUGGCUNGGAGUGUACCGAUCUUCGGUCAAGGGUAUACGAUAGCUGCGCUCCCCUGCUAGAACCUCCAAACAAGCUCAAGGUCCAUUUGUAGGAGAACGUAGGGUAGUCAAGCUUCCAAGACUCCAGACACAUCCAAGUGAGGCGCUGCAUGUGGCAGUUUGCCAUUCUUU
RNAcentral lists this small nuclear RNA (237 nucleotides) under Ophiophagus hannah (king cobra). Its description in RNAcentral is "7SK RNA". It matches the Rfam family "7SK RNA". Rfam says of the family: 7SK was discovered as an abundant small nuclear RNA in the mid-70s but a possible function has only recently been suggested. The record is from Rfam by way of RNAcentral. Lineage: Eukaryota; Metazoa; Chordata; Lepidosauria; Squamata; Elapidae.